GCUCAACCGCUCCGACCCCGCCCUGCUCAUCGUGGGGCUGCCCCACAGCGUGAGCUCUGGGCUGAUGGAUCCCCGGGAGGUGCUGACCAGUAACGACGCGGUGCUGGGGGAGGUGCUGCGGGUGCUGCAGGAGGAGCAGUUGCCCUACACGGCCCUGUUCACCGCCCGCAGACCCUCCCGGGCCCCCUCCGCUGCCCGGGGGCCCC
Myiozetetes cayanensis is the source of this 206-nucleotide long non-coding RNA. RefSeq lists it as uncharacterized. NCBI's taxonomy places the organism in Eukaryota, Metazoa, Chordata, Aves, Passeriformes, Tyrannidae. The record is from RefSeq and is a predicted model, not a curated record. The transcript has 4 exons.